CCUACGGGAGGCAGCAGUGGGGAAUAUUGCACAAUGGGGGAAACCCUGAUGCAGCGACGCCGCGUGAGUGAAGAAGUCUUUCGGUAUGUAAAGCUCUAUCAGCAGGGAAGAAAAUGACGGUACCUGAUUAAGAAGCCCCGGCCAACUACGUGCCAGCAGCCGCGGUAAUACGUAGGGGGCAAGCGUUAUCCGGAUUUACUGGGUGUAAAGGGAGCGUAGACGGCAGCACAAGUCUGGAGUGAAAUGCCGGGGCUUAACCCCGGAACUGCUGUGGAAACUGUGCAGCGAGAGUGCAGGAGAGGUAAGCGGAAGUCGUAGUGUAGCGGUGAAAUGCGUAGAUAUUAGGAGGAACACCAGUGGCGAAGGCAGCUUACUGGACUGUAACUGACGUUGAGGCUCGAAAGCGUGGGGAGCGAACAGGAUUAGAUACCCCUGUAGUC
Molecule: ribosomal RNA, 440 nt
Filed under: uncultured bacterium
Lineage: Bacteria
Description: partial 16S ribosomal RNA
Rfam family: Bacterial small subunit ribosomal RNA
Source: RNAcentral